GAGGGACGGUACAAUACAUAAAGGUGGAGAGGGGGACGGUAACAAUACAUAAAGGUGGAGAGGGGGACGGUACAAUACAUAAAGGUGGAGAGGGGGGACGGUACAAUACAUAAAGGUGGAGAGGGGGACGGUACAAUACAUAAAGGUGGGAGAGGGGACGGUACAAUACAUAAAGGUGGAGAGCGGGACGGUACAAUACAUAAAGGUGGAGAGGGGGACGGUACAAUACAUAAAGGUGGAGAGAGGGACGGUACAAUACAUAAAGGUGGAGAGAGGGACAAUAAAAUAAUUAAAGCCAGGGAGAGAAAAACAUUCAUCUUAGCAGAGCAACAGCCUAGGGAGCCCCCUUCUCAGGGGCCAAUGGGACAUUAAACGGGUCACAGAUAUAAGGUCACAUGGUUUCAGAACAGCUACCCAGUCUUUUUGCAUUUCAUUGGGCAAAAUAGAAUAAUAGUGACUUAAAGUUUGAUACAGACAAAGCAUAGACUUAAGAGUUAACGACAACAGAGCCAGUAGGGUGAAUGUGGAGGUAUACUACCUGAACUGUCCAAUAACAACACUGAUUUUUGUUUUGCUGUAGAGUACCCUACCAAACAUGACCCAGGUCACAUUGAUUCAUCUGGUGUGGUGUGCCCCAAGGUUCUGGUCCAGUACCAGUAAAUGUUUAGUCUCAUCACAGCCAGAACUGAAGGACUGAGAGCUGAUACCAGAGCAGUCCCAGUCUCUGUCUAGGGGUGUGAGAUGUUGUUACAAAGUCAAUGACCGUACAGUAAAAUUAUCAUGCAACUCUUAAAACUUGUUCAAGCAGUCUGACAUUCAUACAAUGCACC
Molecule: long non-coding RNA, 830 nt
Organism: Coregonus clupeaformis (lake whitefish)
Lineage: Eukaryota; Metazoa; Chordata; Actinopteri; Salmoniformes; Salmonidae
Exons: 2
Source: RefSeq, a predicted model, not a curated record